UUCCGGUUGAUCCCGCCGGACCUUACUGCUAUCGGGACGAGACUAAAACAUGCUAGUUGUGCGCACCCUAGCCACGUUGGGAGCGCAGCAAACGGCUCCGUAACACGUAGUCAAUCUAACCUUAGGACGGGGAUAACCCCCGGGAAACUGGGGCUAAUACCCGCUAGGCGAUAAAAGCCUGGAAUGGCAUUUCACCUAAAGGGUUUUAGUAACACGCUACUAAAACUGCCUAAGGAUGAGACUGCGGCCGAUUAGGUUGUUGGUGGGGUAACGGCCUACCAAGCCUAUGACCGGUACGGGCCCUGAGAGGGGGAGCCCGGAGAUGGGAACUGAGACAAGGUCCCAGACCCCACGGGGUGCAGCAGUUGCGAAACCUCUACAAUGCACGAAAGUGUGAUAGGGUUAUCCCGAGUGCCGUCCGAUGAGGAUGGCUUUUCCUCGGUGUAAGAAUCCGGGGGAAUAAAGGGGGGGCAAGACUGGUGUCAGCCGCCGCGGUAAUACCAGCCCCCUAAGUGGUAGGGACGAUUAUUUGGCCUAAAGCGUCCGUAGCCGGCUUAGUGAGUCUUUCGUUAAAUUCGGCGACUUAAUCGUCGGUGUGCGAGAGAUACUGCUAGGUUCGAGGACGGGAGAGGUCGACGGUAUUCCGGGGGUAGGGGCAAAAUCCUAUAAUCCUCGGAGGACCACCAGUGGCGAAGGCGGUCGACUAGAACGUGCCUGACGGUGAUGGACGAAAGCUGGGGGAGCAAACCGGAUUAGACACCCGGGUAGUCCCAGCCGUAAACGAUGUGGGCUAGGUGUUGGGGCAGCCACGAGCUGCUCCGGUGCCGCAGAGAAGUCAUUAAGCCCACCGCCUGGGAAGUACGGUCGCAAGACUGAAACUUAAAGGGAUUGGCGGGGGAGCACCACAAGGGUGAAGCCUGCGGUUCAAUUGGAGUCACGCCCGGGAAUCA
RNAcentral lists this ribosomal RNA (950 nucleotides) under uncultured archaeon. RNAcentral describes it as "bacterial SSU rRNA". It matches the Rfam family "Archaeal small subunit ribosomal RNA", at positions 1 to 927 of the family's 1478-position model. The record is from RNAcentral.